GUCUACAGCCAUGCCACCCUGAACGUGCCCGAUCUCGUCUGAUCUCAGAAACUAAGAGUUGGGCCUGGUUAGUACUUGGAUGGGAGACCACCUUGGAAUACCAGGUGCAGUAGGAG
RNAcentral lists this ribosomal RNA (116 nucleotides) under Pteropus alecto (black flying fox). The record is from RNAcentral. Lineage: Eukaryota; Metazoa; Chordata; Mammalia; Chiroptera; Pteropodidae. RNAcentral also lists the same sequence under 1 other name.